UGGGGAAUUUUGGACAAUGGGGGAAACCCUGAUCCAGCCAUCCCGCGUGUGCGAUGAAGGCCUUCGGGUUGUAAAUCACUCUUGGCAGGAAAUACACGUCAUGGGUUAAUACCCCGUGAAACUGACGGUACCUGCAGAAUAAGCACCGGCUAACUACGUGCCAGCAGCCGCGGUAAUACGUAGGGUGAAAGCGGUAAUCGGAAUUACUGGGCGUAAAGCGUGCGCAGGCGGUUCGGAAAGAAAGAUGUGAAAUCCCAGAGCUCAACUUUGGAAGUGCAUUUUUGACUACCGGGCUAGAGUGUGUGAGAGGGAGGUGGAAUUCCGAGUGUAGCAGUGAAAUGCGUAGAUAUGCGGAGGAACACCGAUGGCGAAGGCAGCCUCCUGGGAUAACACUGACGCUCAUGCACGAAAGCGUGGGGAGCAAACAGG
Molecule: ribosomal RNA, 429 nt
Filed under: Acidobacteriota bacterium
Lineage: Bacteria; Pseudomonadati; Acidobacteriota
Description: Acidobacteria bacterium partial 16S ribosomal RNA
Rfam family: Bacterial small subunit ribosomal RNA
Source: RNAcentral